AGGGCGUCGCCCGACCAGAGAUACUGGUCUCGGGCACCAGUGAUCGUGGGUUCAAAUCCCACCCGCCCCACCA
RNAcentral lists this transfer RNA (73 nucleotides) under Candidatus Bathyarchaeota archaeon. Its description in RNAcentral is "tRNA-Pro". It matches the Rfam family "tRNA", at positions 14 to 71 of the family's 71-position model. From Rfam's summary of the family: Transfer RNA (tRNA) molecules are approximately 80 nucleotides in length. Their secondary structure includes four short double-helical elements and three loops (D, anti-codon, and T loops). Further hydrogen bonds mediate the characteristic L-shaped molecular structure. tRNAs have two regions of fundamental functional importance: the anti-codon, which is responsible for specific mRNA codon recognition, and the 3' end, to which the tRNAs corresponding amino acid is attached (by aminoacyl-tRNA synthetases). tRNAs cope with the degeneracy of the genetic code in two manners: having more than one tRNA (with a specific anti-codon) for a particular amino acid; and 'wobble' base-pairing, i.e. permitting non-standard base-pairing at the 3rd anti-codon position. Lineage: Archaea; Thermoproteati; Candidatus Bathyarchaeota. The record is from RNAcentral.